This 471-nucleotide long non-coding RNA is filed under the name Ricinus communis (castor bean). RNAcentral describes it as "long non-coding RNA (RCOM_LNC000595)". Lineage: Eukaryota; Viridiplantae; Streptophyta; Magnoliopsida; Malpighiales; Euphorbiaceae. The record is from RNAcentral.
GAAGAGGGAGAGAGUCGGCGUUGGGGGGAGAAGAGAAGGAGGGAGAGAGGGCACUGUCGUUCAUCAGCUCGAGGCAUGGUGGCGGUAGUUGGCGGAAGAGCUGGCGGCGCGACAACACGAAGUGAAGGAAAAAAAGGGGGGGAGAGUUGAUGCAGCGGUUGUCCGGUGUUAUUCAUGGCGUUUCCGGUGUCGGUAGCCAUUGUUUUUGGUGGCGAUCGACUCCCCUCGGUCUUUGCUUUGUUUUAGCGGCAGCGGUGUCAACUGUGGUGGCCGGAGACGGAAGAUCCGGUGGAGAGAGAAAGUAGGGGCAGUUGGCAUUUUCUAGUUUUUUCGACGAGCUUUGGCUGAUCGGAGGACAUAUCUAGACUCCCCUCAGCUCAAGCUUCGCAGUGGCACCGGUUUCAUGGCGAUCGAACUCCGUUUGUAAAUCGACGGCCGAAAUCGUCCGCAAAUCUCUAUGGAUGAUCAGUG